CCUUCAAGAGAUUCCAACCGGCUAUUAACACUCAUUAUGGCGGCCAUCAAAGCUCCCAUGGUUACCUUUUCCGAUGCCAUAGUACCUAGCAAAUAAAUACUAAAACAAAAACAAAAGCAACAAACAAGUUAAGGUUAGGAAAACUUAUACCAAUCAAGCUACGGAAGGCACUAAAAUGACAUAAAAACAGUCCACAAACAACAAGGUAAACCGAGGACCAAAUGAGACCUUGUCUCGGCUUCCACAACAAUACUACAAGAACAAGAACAACAAGAUAUCAAGGUUUUCAACACCUAAUUCAACCAACCAACAAACUAACAAAUAGAUUACAACUACACAACAAGCUCUCAGGUUCUCACACACACAAGCCGAGGGUGAGCACUAACAAUAAUAAAAUGGAUAGAUAGAUAGAUAACUUGACAUACAAAUGUAUAAACACUAUGAACCUAAGUGUGUAUCAAACACAAAGACCCAAAGAUUCACAUAAGUGUGUAUCAAACACAAAGACCCAAAGAUUCACACAAGUAACACCAAGCUCUUACGGAGACCUUAAGGGAACCGAAAUUCCAAGCAACCACCGUUUCUACUUGUACCAACACUAGUGAUAUCCACACUUGCAUUAACACCCAAAGAGUAUUCUCACAAUAUUCAUCAAAGUUGUGGACUAAAGACCUAAUAUGUUCUAUUUAUAGUCUAGGUUAAGCUUAUUAUACAAAAUGACCAAAAGGCCCUUAAUGAACCUUUACAAAGGGGCGGCCUUGGAGUGUACAUAUGGACGGCUUUGGAGUGUUGGGACUUGUUCUCCACACUUCAAAGCUUGUUCUCUUGGUUGGGCAGCCACCCGAGCUCGAGUCUUUACGUAUUGACUUCCAAUCAUGUCCUUGAGAGCUAAGAUGCCUCUUUGAUUUGUAUCAUCCUCCCCUUCUUGAAAAGGAUUCGACCUCGGAUCCGAACCUUGCAAAACAAUAGGGUACACAAGAAAACACACAUUCCUCAUGGCAUGAGGGUUAAUGUUAGCAUAAUCAACUAUAGUAUAAAACCAAAGUUACACACACUUCAUAAGCCGAAGAGUCUUAGGGAAUAGGAUACCCUUCCAAUCACAAAAACCCGAAUACCCUAAAGAAGAAACAAUUUGUCUACCCACAUAAGUGUGACGAGAAACAAGAGAGGCUUGGAACAUACCUUUGGAGUGAAAACCAGAGCUUGCUCUUGGCUUGGAACUUGGCACAAUGCUAGUGCCGAAUAUGGUGAAUAACAAGUGCUUGGUUUUGGGUACCAAGUUCUUCCUCUUGAACCCGAAAUGCAUCACCUCCAACAUCCGGGUUCUUCUUCAUCAUGAGGUUAAAGUUCAAGACCUCUCCUUUUUCAGGCCAAACAUCUUCAUGAGGAGCUUUCAUUAUCAACCCGCAAGGCACACUAACAUUUUCUUCUUCCACUACCAUCUUGGCUUCAUCAUCAUUGUCAUCCUCCUUUUGAGGGAUUUCCUCACGAAUAUCAUUUAUUGUCACUUUACCCCUAACAAAGUAAGGAUCACCCUCCACCAACACAAUGUUCCUUCGGUUUGGGCACUCACUAGCUUUGUGACCCCAACCUUGACAUUUAAAACAAACAAUACCUUUAGGAUUAGGAGUAGAAGAUGGGUUACCUUCAAGCCGUGGUGGAUAGCUUUGGAUGGUCCCAUCAAUCGGCCUCAUCUAAGGAAUUGUAUGAGUCUUUAGGCUUGUUCUAUCCGAAGGUCUUCUUGGCAUAAUUGUUUCUUUCAACUUCAAUGACCGCUUCAACAAGGUCCUUAAUUCGGUCAAACUUGAGGACAACUAGUUGAGAAACAACUUCAUAGCACAAGCCACCUUUGAACCCAGCUAGGCAAUGAUUUGGAGGUUUAACAAUAUCAAGGCGAAGGAUCAAGUUUUGAAACUCAUCAUAAUACUCCUCUACACUUCUAUCUCCUUGCUUUAAAUUGUAGAGCCUUGUUAAUUGCUUUUGUUUGUACCUCUCUGUGACAUAUCUCUCUCAUAAGAGCUUUCAAUUCAUCCCGAUUCGGAAGGUCAAGAUUGCUAUUCCUUGCUCUUUGCAACCGCUUUGUCUCCCACCAAGUAGAUGCAUAUCCUUCAAAUUGAGCAAUGGCAUGCGUGGCUUUCUUUUGGGAAGUUAACUCAUUGAGUUGGAAAUUCCGAUUAUAUUGCAACUCCCAAUCAAGAUAGAUUGAGGAGUCACUAGUUCCCUUGAAAGUAGGAAGAGUGAUCUUGAUGGAGUUGAGACCUGUGUCUCUACCCACAUUGCCUCCUUGGUCCCCUAGACCUUCUUGAACAUGAGGUCGGUGUCCCAAGUUGCCUCUACCAUGAGGAGCCGGACCAAACCUUCCCCCUCGGCCCUUAUGCCCUUCGCCAUAAGCUCCUCUUCUAUUGCACACAAAUCCCGCAAAGAAAGUCACUUUAUCUAACUCCUCACCUCCAUAAGAACACUCACGCUCCACAUCAUCAAUUUGGAUAGGUUGGUUUCGGUUUAGUGGUGCUUUCGGCAUUUCAAGGUGGUCUCGGUUUUGUGGAGCUUCUUGGUGGACUUGGUUUCGGUUAUUUGGAUAAGUAGGGAUUUGGUUGACGGGCUCAUGGACUUGUCUAGGUGGGUUGAACAUUUGGUGAAGUGUAUCCGGAGUUAUAGUAGGGGAGGCGUUGGUAGCAUGUCCACUGGAUGAGGUAUGGUAGUUUUUAGGACUUGAAUGGUUGGACACUAGACGGACUUCUAAGGUAUCCAUUCUCCUUGAGAAAGAACCUUCCGUCCCUUCUAUCCGUCCCUCUAUCUUCUCCAUUCGACUACUAAGAUCAUGUUUUACCCCAUUAUGGCUGCUAUCAAGUCAUCCAUAUUUCCUCUCCUGAAGUCUUGGACUACCUUCACCCGAAGCCAUGGUAUUUAACAAAGAAAUGCUACACACAACACAAACAACAAGUUAAGGUUAGCAAAAAUCAACCUCACAAACUCUCAAGCUCACACUUUUACAAGUAUCACUCAAAUGAUCUCACAAGUAUUGGUACACCAUCCAUAUUUCCUCUCCCGAAGUCCUUGGACUACCUUCACCCGAAGCCAUGGUACUUAACAAAGAAAUGCUAAACACAACACAAACAACAAGUUAAGGUUAGCAAAAAUCAACCUCACAAACUCUCAAGCUCACACUUUUCCAAGUAUCACUCAAAUGAUCUCACAAGUAUUGGUACACCAUUUAUACUCCAAUGAGGUUACUUGGUCCCAAUUGCGGCUUAAGGUCGGAAUAGAUUUUUGUUGGCAACGACUCAAAACAAAUAUGUACGUACUUGAAUCAAGAAGCUACAAUGAAUUUCAAAAAGAUAAAAGCCCGCAAAGAAACGUAGACACGAAUUAAACGGACCUAAAACUAACUUACAACCUAAUAGACAAUUACUAGUUUGUUAAUUAGCAAUAGAAUCAACAAAAUGCAGCUAAGAAACAAAGAUUAGAAACUAAGAAACCAAAAUUUGAGCCUAAAAUUCUCGUGUGAACAGUAAUUAGUGACGUGGCAGCCACGUAUUGAUUGCAGUCUUUAACAAAUUUUAUUUUUCCAAAUUUGAAAGUUUUGAUCAAUUUGUGAUUUGGAAUUGGUGGGAAUUGGUUUAGGAGGGAAACAAGUCUUGAAAUACUCUUUCAAAUUUAAAAAUUGAAGACUUGACUUUCUUGUACUAUUUCCCUAAAACAUGGUCCCCAAAACAUGGAAAGUGGUUGGAAGUAGUUGACAAGCCUUGAGUGAUUGUUCGUCUUUCAAGACUAACAAGUACUUCACUCUUUUCCCUUCACCUUUUGAGAUUUAACAUUCACUUUUUUUUUAAACAAGGUAUGAAGGUUGUGAAGAACAUCAAGAAUAAUAUCAACAAUCACCAAGAACAACAAUAACAACCACACAGCCAAGCCAACUCCACAACAACAAAGCCAACAACAAAACCACCAACAAACGACCAAGACCACAACAAUAACAACACAACCGGCCAAGGCUUAGAUCCACAACAAGAACUUCAACAACAUAAGCUCAAACUUUAGAUCUAGACUCAAGAGUAUUAGUGAAGAAGAAAAUUAACGCUAGAAACAACAAAACAAACAAAAGAACACCUAGAUCUAGACUCAACUUUCGGCCAAGAACACAAACUCAAGAACACUACUUUUUUUUUUUUUGAUUUUUCAAGCAAGCAAGCCCAAGAUUGAUCUUGUGGGAACAAAUCAGCCAUGCUCUGAUACCAAAUGAUACCAACCAAGCUACAGAGGCACUAAAAUGACAUAAAAACAGUCCACAAACAACAAGGUAAACCCGAGGACUAAAUGAGACCUUGUCUCGGCUUCCACAACAAUACUACAAGAACAAGAACUACAAGAUAUCAAGGUUUUCAACACUUAUUUAAGCCAACCAACAAACUAGCAAAUAGAUUACAACUACACAACAAGCUCUCGGGUUCACACACACAAAAGACGAGAGUGAGCACUAACAACAAUAAAAUGGAUAGAUAGAUAGGUAACUUGACAUACAAAUGUAUAAACAGCAAGAACCUAAGUGUGUAUCAAACACAAUGACCC
Molecule: long non-coding RNA, 4569 nt
Filed under: Capsicum annuum
Lineage: Eukaryota; Viridiplantae; Streptophyta; Magnoliopsida; Solanales; Solanaceae
Description: long non-coding RNA (CANN_LNC005039)
Source: RNAcentral